This 385-nucleotide long non-coding RNA is filed under the name Gallus gallus (chicken). Its description in RNAcentral is "lncRNA (ENSGALG00010006796.1)". Lineage: Eukaryota; Metazoa; Chordata; Aves; Galliformes; Phasianidae. The record is from RNAcentral.
ACCCAAUUUUCUGCCGUAUGUUUCUGUCUCUGUGGAGGUUAUUUCCGUUAUUUUUUUUAUUUCCGUUUUUUCCAUUAUUUCAAUUAUUUCCGUUGUUGUUCUAGACCUGUCAUUUAAUUUUCUGCCGUCUUUUUCUUUCACUGUGGAGGUUAUUUCUGUUAUUUCCUUUAUUAUUUCCGUUAUUUUUGUUAUUUUGGUUAUUUCCGUUAUUUCUGUUGUUGUUCUUGACCUGUCACUUAAUAUUCUGCCGUAUGUUUCUGUCUCUCUUGAGGUUCUUUGCGUUCUUUGCGUUCUUUGCGUUUUUUGCGUUCUUUGCGUUCUUUGCGUUCUUUGCGUUCUUUCCGUUCUUUCCGUUCUUUCCGUUCUUUCCGUUGUUGUUCUUGCC